This 427-nucleotide ribosomal RNA is filed under the name Escherichia coli. RNAcentral describes it as "bacterial SSU rRNA". It matches the Rfam family "Bacterial small subunit ribosomal RNA", at positions 39 to 462 of the family's 1533-position model. The record is from RNAcentral. Lineage: Bacteria; Pseudomonadati; Pseudomonadota; Gammaproteobacteria; Enterobacterales; Enterobacteriaceae.
GCGGCAGGCCUAACACAUGCAAGUCGAACGGUAACAGGAAGCAGCUUGCUUUUUUGCUGACGAGUGGCGGACGGGUGAGUAAUGUCUGGGAAACUGCCUGAUGGAGGGGGAUAACUACUGGAAACGGUAGCUAAUACCGCAUAACGUCGCAAGACCAAAGAGGGGGACCUUCGGGCCUCUUGCCAUCGGAUGUGCCCAGAUGGGAUUAGCUAGUAGGUGGGGUAACGGCUCACCUAGGCGACGAUCCCUAGCUGGUCUGAGAGGAUGACCAGCCACACUGGAACUGAGACACGGUCCAGACUCCUACGGGAGGCAGCAGUGGGGAAUAUUGCACAAUGGGCGCAAGCCUGAUGCAGCCAUGCCGCGUGUAUGAAGAAGGCCUUCGGGUUGUAAAGUACUUUCAGCGGGGAGGAAGGGAGUAAAGUUA